Non-coding RNA from Camelina sativa (false flax), 333 nucleotides. The record is from RefSeq and is a predicted model, not a curated record. Lineage: Eukaryota; Viridiplantae; Streptophyta; Magnoliopsida; Brassicales; Brassicaceae.
CAACAGCGACAACAACAAAAAUAAUAUCAUAAAAAUGGCUAUCACAAAGAAAGUAUCGCUCGCAUUUGUUCUCACUAUUCUCUUUGUCACAUCUUCAGUUCAUUGUGAUGAUAACACUCCCGAUUUUGGAAUAAAGGGAAAUUUCCUAUGCUACCAACCAGCUCCAUGUAAUAUGGGAGGAGACGAUGGAUGCACCCAGUUUUGUGUUAAAGAGAUGAACGAUCGAGUAUAUGGUAGAUGUAUGGGUGGCUCAUGUUGUUGUGUGAUAAAGAUGUAAUAAUCUAUCCAAAUAUUUGUAUUUGCUACUUUAACGAAGUUACGAAUUUUCAUACA